This 1332-nucleotide ribosomal RNA is filed under the name uncultured bacterium. Its description in RNAcentral is "bacterial SSU rRNA". It matches the Rfam family "Bacterial small subunit ribosomal RNA", at positions 28 to 1381 of the family's 1533-position model. The record is from RNAcentral.
GACGAACGCUGGCGGCGCGCCUAACACAUGCAAGUCGAACGAGCGAGAGAGAGCUUGCUUUCUCGAGCGAGUGGCGAACGGGUGAGUAACGCGUGAGGAACCUGCCUCAAAGAGGGGGACAACAGUUGGAAACGACUGCUAAUACCGCAUAAGCCCACGGGUCGGCAUCGACCAGAGGGAAAAGGAGCAAUCCGCUUUGAGAUGGCCUCGCGUCCGAUUAGCUAGUUGGUGAGGUAAUGGCCCACCAAGGCAACGAUCGGUAGCCGGACUGAGAGGUUGAACGGCCACAUUGGGACUGAGACACGGCCCAGACUCCUACGGGAGGCAGCAGUGGGGAAUAUUGCACAAUGGGGGAAACCCUGAUGCAGCGACGCCGCGUGGAGGAAGAAGGUCUUCGGAUUGUAAACUCCUGUUGUUGGGGAAGAUAAUGACGGUACCCAACAAGGAAGUGACGGCUAACUACGUGCCAGCAGCCGCGGUAAAACGUAGGUCACAAGCGUUGUCCGGAAUUACUGGGUGUAAAGGGAGCGCAGGCGGGAAGACAAGUUGGAAGUGAAAUCUAUGGGCUCAACCCAUAAACUGCUUUCAAAACUGUUUUUCUUGAGUAGUGCAGAGGUAGGCGGAAUUCCCGGUGUAGCGGUGGAAUGCGUAGAUAUCGGGAGGAACACCAGUAGCGAAGGCGGCCUACUGGGCACCAACUGACGCUGAGGCUCGAAAGUGUGGGUAGCAAACAGGAUUAGAUACCCUGGUAGUCCACACCGUAAACGAUGAUUACUAGGUGUUGGAGGAUUGACCCCUUCAGUGCCGCAGUUAACACAAUAAGUAAUCCACCUGGGGAGUACGACCGCAAGGUUGAAACUCAAAGGAAUUGACGGGGGCCCGCACAAGCAGUGGAGUAUGUGGUUUAAUUCGACGCAACGCGAAGAACCUUACCAAGUCUUGACAUCCCUUGACAGACAUAGAAAUAUGUAAUCUCUUCGGAGCAAGGAGACAGGUGGUGCAUGGUUGUCGUCAGCUCGUGUCGUGAGAUGUUGGGUUAAGUCCCGCAACGAGCGCAACCCUUAUGGUCAGUUACUACGCAAGAGGACUCUGGCCAGACUGCCGUUGACAAAACGGAGGAAGGUGGGGAUGACGUCAAAUCAUCAUGCCCUUUAUGACUUGGGCUACACACGUACUACAAUGGCGUUAAACAAAGAGAAGCAAGACCGCGAGGUGGAGCAAAACUCAGAAACAACGUCCCAGUUCGGACUGCAGGCUGCAACUCGCCUGCACGAAGUCGGAAUUGCUAGUAAUCGUGGAUCAGCAUGCCACGGUGAAUACGUUCCCGGGCCU